This 886-nucleotide ribosomal RNA is filed under the name Platypus semigranosus. RNAcentral describes it as "partial 28S large subunit ribosomal RNA". The stretch from base 231 to 886 matches the Rfam family "Eukaryotic large subunit ribosomal RNA", at positions 1 to 907 of the family's 3401-position model. The record is from RNAcentral. Lineage: Eukaryota; Metazoa; Arthropoda; Insecta; Coleoptera; Curculionidae.
AUUCAUUCGUGUUUCGAUAUUGAUAAAAUUGUAUAUGUUUAGACGAUAAAUAAAUUGAAUUAUCUAUUCUAUGGUAAUUUUUGAUUUAUAUGUUGCUACAUAUUUAUUUUCGAUCUGAUGUUGAACACGUGCAUUUUUCUUCUGGUAGGACGUUGCGAUCCGUUAGGAAUAUCUAUCGAUCUAUGAUGUUUUGUGGUUUAGUUCAUUGAUACAUUUAUGAGAAAAAUUUUUUUUUUUUUUUUAUAUAUGCAUAUAUUGAUGAAGCCAUACAAUCUGAUCGAUUUACUUGACGGUAAAAUUAUGGUUAAAAGUCGCUAUGCUACUAAGCAUUAGCGUUAGAAGUUGGACAAGUGUAUGAAUUGUGUAACCAGCAAUGUCAUUAUUCAUAUUCAUAUGGUAGUGAUAGUGUUCUCGGUAAUCGGUAUUUAUAUCAAUUCCGAGCCGUUUAUACACUGUUAGUUUAGCAUAUCUCUAACAGACUUUAUUAUUAAAUUUUUUUGUUUUUAAUGAAACCAAUCAGCAACGCUAUAGCUUUGGGUACUUUCAGGACCCGUCUUGAAACACGGACCAAGGAGUCUAGCAUGUUCGCAAGCCAUUGGGAUAUUAAACCUAUAGGCAUAAUGAAAGUAAAAAUCAUUUUAUCUUGUAUGAAAUGAAGGGAAGAUAAAUGAUGAUAUAAAAUAUUUUUAUCGAUAUUAUAUACGUUAUUUCGCAUUCCCGGGGCGUUUAAAUUUCAUUUAUUUGUUUACACAUUUGAAUGAGAUUAUGCGCACCAAGAGUGUACACGCUGGGACCCGAAAGAUGGUGAACUAUGCCUGGUCAGGACGAAGUCAGGGGAAACCCUGAUGGAGGUCCGUAGCGAUUCUGACGUGCAAAUCGAUCGUCG